This 1873-nucleotide long non-coding RNA is filed under the name Mus musculus (house mouse). RNAcentral's name for it is "long non-coding RNA chr16:93704564-93706437". Lineage: Eukaryota; Metazoa; Chordata; Mammalia; Rodentia; Muridae. The record is from RNAcentral.
GUAUAAAUCCGAAGAGGAAAACGGCCAAUACUGAAGCUGGCCAUCUCCCCCCAUGCGGAGUGGAAAUGCCUGGGAGGUGGUGGAGUCCACUGCGGGAGGGUCUCUCCUUCCCCGCAGUCGAGACACCAUGGGAGAAGGGGGGGAAACCUCGGAGGUGGUGGCCGCCUCUUCUUCGUCGUUCUCCCUGGCAGAGGAGGAGGGUUGUGCUCUGUACGGCGGGGGGUCCUCUGUGAGAAGGUCAAUGAGGGGUCCGCCGCUAUCAGGGAGAACCUGGGGCUUAGGAGGUUUGGACUUUAUAGAGGGGGUAAGGGCAGGGUAAAGGGCAGAUCGGGACGGAGGUUGCGCAGAAGGACCGGGCGGGAGGACGGGAGCUGUCGGCAAGGGAGGAAGUUUAGGAGACACAAACGGUUUGACCCACGGAGGGGGGUCAUAGGCAAGUGCCUCCCAGGUGACGAUAUAUGGGACCUGAUCCGGGUGUCCGUGGGGACCAGGACAAAACACUCUAGACUUAACCUGAGAGAUAAUACUUAAAUUGAAAGUACCAUCCUGAGGCCAUCCCACAUUGAAAGUUGGCCAUUCAGCGGAACAGAAGGUAAUCUAGCGCCUCUUCUUGACAUCCACAGACUGGUUGGAUGCAAUGCGCUGGACAUCUCCCCAGUGCUGCAAGGUUAAACUCAGAGGGGUAGUUACGGUCUGUCCCAUGAUCUCGAAAACACUUAAAGACAGAAGAAAACUAACGAAGAACAAAAGAACAACAAACAAAUCAGACGCGCGGCGCGGCUUCGGCGUAAAACCGAAAGCAAAAAUUCAGACGGGGGCGGGAAGUGUCUCUGUCUCUCGUCCCCCAACAAAGCCACGUACAGUGGCGGAGCUCCAAAAAGUCCGACUCGGGUAGGUUAACUGAUACAGAAUGGGCCACAAAACGGGCCCCCGAGGCCGCUGGGACGUCUCCCAGGGGCUGCGGCCGGGAAUACGAACUCGUCAGUUCUUCCGCGGAACCGCCAGAUACAGAUCUAGUUAGCUAACUAGUACAGACGCAGGCGCAAACAUUGGAUGCCGGCACAAACACGCACGAAGACAGAGACAGACACGAAACGACCGCUGGCCAGCUUACCUCCCGGCGGGGGGUCGGUGGUCCCUGGGCAGGGGUCUCCAAAUCUCGGUGGGACCUCCAAAUGAAAGACCCCCGACGUGGGUAGUCAAUCAAUCUGAGGAGACCCUCUCAAGGACCAGCGAGACCACGAUUCGGAUGCAAACAGCAAGAGGCUUUAUUGAGAACACGGGUACCCGGGCGACGCAGUCUAUCGGAGGACUGGCGCGCCGAGUGUGGAGUUUUUACCCUUUUUAUAGGGCUGGGGCUGGGGAGCAAAAAGCGCGGUUACAGAAGCGAGAAGCGAGCUGGUUGGUUAGUUCGAAUAAGGCUUGGGGUAUUUCUCGGUCAUUUGGGGAAACUGAGGUGGGACUUUUUAGUUCUAAACAAUGUCUAUUUUCAAGAAAUGGGUAUGGGAGGGGUACGAGGAAAGGGUCUAAUGAAGGUUCAACAAUGGGCACACACCUGGUCAGAACAUUGGCAGACACACAGGUUCAAGGAGUGGCCAGAGCACUGUGCACCUCUAUUUUUCUAAAUCAGUGAAGCUAGUUCUGCUAACACUGACGUCUGAGAGCCAUCUGUUCUUGGCCCUGAGCCGGGGCCCAGGUGCUUGACCACCGAUAUUUGGCCCCUGUCCCAGUAUUAUUCAGCCUUAAUCUUUAACUGUUAAUCUUUAACUGAACUUUCUUGUAACUUUUGAGAACUCAGCUCUGGUACUUUUUCAUGCCUUGCAAAAUGGCGUUACUGCAGCUAGCUUGCUAAGCCUGAUGGUGGGGUCUUUCA